RNAcentral lists this ribosomal RNA (497 nucleotides) under uncultured bacterium. Its description in RNAcentral is "partial 16S ribosomal RNA". It matches the Rfam family "Bacterial small subunit ribosomal RNA", at positions 28 to 507 of the family's 1533-position model. The record is from RNAcentral.
GACGAACGCUGGUGGCGUGCCUAAUACAUGCAAGUAGAACGCUGAAGAGAGGAGCUUGCUCUUCUUGGAUGAGUUGCGAACGGGUGAGUAACGCGUAGGUAACCUGCCUUGUAGCGGGGGAUAACUAUUGGAAACGAUAGCUAAUACCGCAUAACAAUGGAUGACCCAUGUCAUUUAUUUGAAAGGGGCAAAUGCUCCACUACAAGAUGGACCUGCGUUGUAUUAGCUAGUAGGUGAGGUAACGGCUCACCUAGGCGACGAUACAUAGCCGACCUGAGAGGGUGAUCGGCCACACUGGGACUGAGACACGGCCCAGACUCCUACGGGAGGCAGCAGUAGGGAAUCUUCGGCAAUGGGGGCAACCCUGACCGAGCAACGCCGCGUGAGUGAAGAAGGUUUUCGGAUCGUAAAGCUCUGUUGUAAGUCAAGAACGAGUGUGAGAGUGGAAAGUUCACACUGUGACGGUAGCUUACCAGAAAGGGACGGCUAACUACGUG